CCCUUAGAUGUUCUGGGCCGCACGCGUGCUACACUGAGUGGAUCAGCGGGUCAGGUUGCGCGAAAGCGUUUCCUAAUCUUUAAAUCCGCUCGUGAUGGGGAUUGACGGUUGCAAUUUUCUGUCAUGAACGAGGAAUACCUUGUAAGCGCGGGUCAUCAUCCCGCGCUGAAUACGUCCCUGCCCUUUGUACACACCGCCCGUCGCUGCAACUGAUUGGGUGACCUGGUGAACAUCUUGGACCGGCCCACUCAAUUUCGAGAGGACUGGAAAAGGCCGUAAAUCAGGUACAUCUAGAAAUUGCAAAAGUCGUAACA
This 314-nucleotide ribosomal RNA is filed under the name uncultured eukaryote. RNAcentral's name for it is "partial 18S ribosomal RNA". It matches the Rfam family "Eukaryotic small subunit ribosomal RNA", at positions 1470 to 1796 of the family's 1831-position model. The record is from RNAcentral.